Molecule: long non-coding RNA, 557 nt
Organism: Hippocampus comes (tiger tail seahorse)
Lineage: Eukaryota; Metazoa; Chordata; Actinopteri; Syngnathiformes; Syngnathidae
Exons: 5
Source: RefSeq, a predicted model, not a curated record
AAAAAAAAAAGCAAUGGGAAGAAGAAAACCUAUUGCCGCCACAACUGUAUUUGAUCAUCUCUAUCCUUGUGGCACAACAUGCCAGGGAGCACUGAGGUCUAAUCAAGAGCAAGAAGAAGAGGCAAAAAAGACCCCGGCGGCCCAGGGUAGGGGGAGGUGGCAGCAGGAGGACAGAUGGUCUCCCUCAUGGUGGCUGAAAUAAAAGAGGGAAUUAGACGACUCCAAGGUGUACACUCUGACGGCAAUUACGGCAAAUAGAUUGGAAGUGGACCUGCAGGCACCCGGGGAGGUGGCUCCUGGGGGAAGAGCUCCACCUCACUGCAUCUGGAACCUUGUAAUGGUCGGAGUGAGACAGUCCAGAGAGUGUCAUGGAGUGACAUUUACUGCCCUUUCUGUGAGGAAACAGGAGGGAGAGCCAUGACGCCCACAACCGCUUUGGUGUUGCACACAUGACAAGAAAGGACUUUCACAUUGGGAGGGACAUGACGCCAUAUACGACAGGAAAUCCUUCCGUCAAGUCUUUUAUUACCAAGCAUACUGAGGUAAUGCUUUCAUGG